GCACAAGCGGUGGAGCAUGUGGUUCAAUUCGACGCAACGCGAAGAACCUUACCCAGGCUUGAACUGCAGAUGACAUCCUGCGAAAGUAGGCUCCCGAAAGGGCACCUGUAGAGGUGCUGCAUGGCUGUCGUCAGCUCGUGUCGUGAGAUGUUGGGUUAAGUCCCGCAACGAGCGCAACCCUUGUCCUUAGUUGCCAGCACUUCGGGUGGGCACUCUAAGGAGACCGCCGGUGACAAACCGGAGGAAGGUGGGGAUGAUGUCAAGUCAUCAUGGCCUUUAUGGCCAGGGCUACGCACGUGCUACAAUGGCCGGUACAAAGGGUUGCCAACCCGCGAGGGGGAGCUAAUCCCAAAAAGCCGGUCGUAGUCCGGAUCGGAGUCUGCAACUCGACUCCGUGAAGUCGGAAUCGCUAGUAAUCGUGAAUCAGCGAUGUCACGGUGAAUACGUUCCCGGGC
This 455-nucleotide ribosomal RNA is filed under the name uncultured bacterium. RNAcentral's name for it is "bacterial SSU rRNA". It matches the Rfam family "Bacterial small subunit ribosomal RNA", at positions 923 to 1379 of the family's 1533-position model. The record is from RNAcentral.